GCCCCGGUGGUGCAAAGGUUAAGCACUUGGCUGCUAACCAAAAGGCUGGUGGUUCAAACCCAGCCAGUGGCU
RNAcentral lists this transfer RNA (72 nucleotides) under Loxodonta africana (African savanna elephant). It matches the Rfam family "tRNA". Rfam says of the family: Transfer RNA (tRNA) molecules are approximately 80 nucleotides in length. Their secondary structure includes four short double-helical elements and three loops (D, anti-codon, and T loops). Further hydrogen bonds mediate the characteristic L-shaped molecular structure. tRNAs have two regions of fundamental functional importance: the anti-codon, which is responsible for specific mRNA codon recognition, and the 3' end, to which the tRNAs corresponding amino acid is attached (by aminoacyl-tRNA synthetases). tRNAs cope with the degeneracy of the genetic code in two manners: having more than one tRNA (with a specific anti-codon) for a particular amino acid; and 'wobble' base-pairing, i.e. permitting non-standard base-pairing at the 3rd anti-codon position. Lineage: Eukaryota; Metazoa; Chordata; Mammalia; Proboscidea; Elephantidae. The record is from Rfam by way of RNAcentral.